AUGUCUUUCCACAGAAAGCUUCCCACUAAGGAAAGACUUCAUAGAUUUGGCAUGAUUAAUAAUAACGAGUGUUGUUUUUGCAGUAAUAUUGAAAUUGUUGAUCACCUAUUGUUUGAAUGCCCUGCUACUAGAACCAUUUGGGGGGAAAUUCUCAAGUGGAUUGAAAUUGAUCACAAUCCGAAGAGUUGGUCCGAGGAGCUUGGCUCAUAG
This is a non-coding RNA of Vicia faba (fava bean), 210 nucleotides long. The record is from the annotation of a GenBank genome assembly. NCBI's taxonomy places the organism in Eukaryota, Viridiplantae, Streptophyta, Magnoliopsida, Fabales, Fabaceae.